This 273-nucleotide ribosomal RNA is filed under the name uncultured Eubacteriales bacterium. RNAcentral describes it as "uncultured Clostridiales bacterium partial 16S ribosomal RNA". It matches the Rfam family "Bacterial small subunit ribosomal RNA", at positions 65 to 339 of the family's 1533-position model. The record is from RNAcentral. Lineage: Bacteria; Bacillati; Bacillota; Clostridia; Eubacteriales.
AGCGAGAGAGAGCUUGCUUUCUCGAGCGAGUGGCGGACGGGUGAGUAACGCGUGGGUAACCUGCCCUGUACAGGGGGACAACAGUUGGAAACGACUGCUAAUACCGCAUAAGCGCACGGUUCCGCAUGGAACAGUGUGAAAAACUCCGGUGGUGUGAGAUGGACCCGCGUCUGAUUAGCUAGUUGGCAGGGCAACGGCCUACCAAGGCGACGAUCGGUAGCCGGACUGAGAGGUUGAACGGCCACAUUGGGACUGAGACACGGCCCAGACUCC